Long non-coding RNA from Anarrhichthys ocellatus (wolf-eel), 462 nucleotides. RefSeq lists it as uncharacterized. The transcript has 3 exons. The record is from RefSeq and is a predicted model, not a curated record. Lineage: Eukaryota; Metazoa; Chordata; Actinopteri; Perciformes; Anarhichadidae.
CACAUCCCAGCAUCCUUGCUGAUUGGCGAAGAGAUGACGGCCAUCUUGGAUUGUAGCGGGGAAGAAAGAUUGAUGCGGUGACACGCGGUAUGUUUGGUGCUAACCGGAAGAAGUUUAUGGAGGGAGGUGUAGAGAGCGACUACGCGGACGACUCCAGCCUCUACUACACCCAACAGUCCAUGUUCCCUCCACACCGCCCUGACAAAGAUAUGCUGACGUCUUCCUCUGCUUCCUCGACGGGUCAACUGUCGCAGCUUGGAGCCAGUUUAUAUGGCCCACAGAGUGAGUAGAAGACACUACACACACACACGUGUGUACUUUGUUACUUUAGUUAAUUUACUUUGAGAUGCAGAGGAUCUCCAUCAGGAGAAAACACGGGCUGACCAAUCACAGAUCUGUGUGUGUCGCUGAAAUCUGUUUCUUGAGAAUCAACAUAUUUUCUCUGUCUGUCUGUCUCUCUGU